Molecule: long non-coding RNA, 209 nt
Filed under: Ananas comosus (pineapple)
Lineage: Eukaryota; Viridiplantae; Streptophyta; Magnoliopsida; Poales; Bromeliaceae
Description: long non-coding RNA (ACOM_LNC001347)
Source: RNAcentral
AUCAUAUCCUCCAAAAUAUUAUCUUUAGAGAAAAAAGAUAGUUUGUUAUUCGUUUCGUUCAUUUUUUAUUAAAAAUAAAUUUAGUUGAAAAGAUUGAGCAACUAGAUUUCAAAUUUGGAAUCUCGAAUGCCAAUUAUUAAAUUUUUUGCCACUUGCACUAGAGAGAGUCAGCUAUAUUGCUCAUAUAUUAAUACAUGUUAGUUGUAGAC